Molecule: ribosomal RNA, 327 nt
Filed under: uncultured eukaryote
Lineage: Eukaryota
Description: partial 18S ribosomal RNA
Rfam family: Eukaryotic small subunit ribosomal RNA
Source: RNAcentral
CCCUUAGAUGUUCUGGGCCGCACGCGCGCCACACUGAUGCAUUCAACGAGUUUCUUCCUGGUCCGAGAGGAAUGGGUAACCUUUUGAAAGUGCAUCGUGAUAGGGAUAGACUAUUGCAAUUAUUGGUCUUCAACGAGGAAUUCCUAGUAGACGUAGUUCAUCAGACUGCAUCGAUUACGUCCCUGCCCUUUGUACACACCGCCCGUCGCUCCUACCGAUUGGGUGUGCUGGUGAAAUGUUCGGAUCGGCCGUUUGUCGCGGUUUCCGCGUCAUGUGGCUGAGAAGUUCAUUAAACCCUCCCACCUAGAGGAAGGAGAAGUCGUAACA